RNAcentral lists this ribosomal RNA (753 nucleotides) under Protoblastenia szaferi. RNAcentral's name for it is "SSU rRNA". It matches the Rfam family "Eukaryotic small subunit ribosomal RNA", at positions 107 to 869 of the family's 1831-position model. The record is from RNAcentral. Lineage: Eukaryota; Fungi; Ascomycota; Lecanoromycetes; Lecanorales; Psoraceae.
CAGUUAUCGUUUAUUUGAUAGUACCUUACUACUUGGAUACCUGUGGUAAUUCUAGAGCUAAUACAUGCUGAAAACCUCGACUUCGGAAGGGGUGUAUUUAUUAGAUAAAAAACCAAUGCCCUUCGGGGCUCCUGGGCGAUUCAUAAUAACUCAACGAAUCGCAUGGCCUUGCGCCGGCGAUGGUUCAUUCAAAUUUCUGCCCUAUCAACUUUCGAUGGUAGGAUAGUGGCCUACCAUGGUUUCUACGGGUAACGGGGAAUUAGGGUUCUAUUCCGGAGAGGGAGCCUGAGAAACGGCUACCACAUCCAAGGAAGGCAGCAGGCGCGCAAAUUACCCAAUCCCGACACGGGGAGGUAGUGACAAUAAAUACUGAUACAGGGCUCUUACGGGUCUUGUAAUUGGAAUGAGUACAAUUUAAAUCCCUUAACGAGGAACAAUUGGAGGGCAAGUCUGGUGCCAGCAGCCGCGGUAAUUCCAGCUCCAAUAGCGUAUAUUAAAGUUGUUGCAGUUAAAAAGCUCGUAGUUGAAACUUGGGUCUGGCUGACCGGUCCGCCUCACCGCGUGCACUGGCUCGGCCGGGUCUUUCCUUCUGGGGAUCCUUAUGCCCUUCAUUGGGUGUAACGGGGAACCAGGACUUUUACUUUGAAAAAAUUAGAGUGUUCAAAGCAGGCCUAUGCUCGAAUACAUUAGCAUGGAAUAAUGGAAUAGGACGUGUGGUUCUAUUUUGUUGGUUUCUAGGACCGCCGUAAUGAU